This 5188-nucleotide long non-coding RNA is filed under the name Sorghum bicolor (sorghum). RNAcentral's name for it is "long non-coding RNA (SBIC_LNC009287)". The record is from RNAcentral. Lineage: Eukaryota; Viridiplantae; Streptophyta; Magnoliopsida; Poales; Poaceae.
CGCGCGGAGCAUACAAUCUGCAUGCAGUGAGUUCCUAUAAACUUUUAAAAAGCGAGGUUUCUAAAUAUCAGUCGACCGGUGCAUGGUGUUUGUAUCCGUGGGCUGACGACUUUUUGUUGUGGGCAGCACAUGGCGCCGUCGGCGUCGUGGUGGGGCGUGGGUGAUAGGUGCAGCCGAUGUGGCUGUUAUUAGGCCUUGUUUUGUUUGUAAAAAUUUGAGCAUUUUCGUUUGUUUGUAGCAAAUAUUAUUUAAUUAUAGACUAACUAGACUCAAAAGAUUCAUCUCACGAUUUACAGACAAACUGUGUAAUUAGUUUUUAAUUUUUUACUAUAUUUAAUGCUCCAUGCAUGUGUCGCAAGAUUCGAUGUGACGGUAAAUCUUAAAAAAUUUGAGUUUUUGGGUGAACUAAACAAGGCAGCCAAAAUGUUAUUAUCUUUUGUACUAAUAAACAAACUAGUACAGUAUCUUUUUUUUACUCUUGUUGUUUAAAAUAUGACCACUUUCCUACACGUUUUCAAAAACCGUUUGUAGUAUUCAGCCACUUGUGAUGAGGUCUAUAAAAUAAGACUAUGAUGCAUAUGUUUGAAAGUAGUUUAUAUGCUCUGGCAACUUAUGUCAUACAUGUAAUAGUUAUUUACUAAUUAAGCACGUAUCAACCAAUAUAUUAGCCUUCCAACAAAUUAUAUAUACUAGCAAACAUGUAGUAACUUAUGUAUUAGUGUGUUGCAACUUAUUUGUCAAUUUUAGUUUUCAUUAUUUGUUGUCACUUUCAGUUCCAGUUUAUUGUUCUUGUAGUUUUAGUUUUCUUUGGACUAUUUUUUUCUAUUGUGUCUACUUUAGUUUUCAUUGUCUACUUGUUAAUUUCAUUUUUUAUUAUCAUUUUCAGUAUUUUUCAUGAUAAUUUUACUUUUAGUGAUAUUUUAUAGUAUUUUUUUCAUUUUGUUCUUUCAUUUUUAUUUUCUAUUUUCAAUUUUAGUUUUAUUUUUUCUUGUCAAUUUCAAUUCUAUUUUCUUGUAAUUUCAGUUUCUAUUAUAUUUUGGAGUUCUUUUCAUUGUGUCUACUUUAGUUUUUAUUUUUUCAUUUUCAAUUUCAGUUUUUUUUCCAUUUUUUUGAGUUUUCAAUUUUUUACUUUAGUUUACAUUUUUUCGUUUUCAAUUUCAGUUUUUUUAUUUUUUAGUUUUGAGUUUUUUUUUAUUUUUAUGAGUUUUUAGAUUUUAUUAUUCAAUCCUUUUAGUCACAUUUUUUGUUUCAUUUUAUUCUUUUCAUUUAAAUGAGUCUUUAUUUUCUAUUAUUGAAUCCUUUUAGUCAAUUUUUUGUUUCAUUUCUUAUUUUCAUUUAAUUGAGUUUUUAGUUUCCAUUAUUCAAUCCUUUUAGUCAAAAUUUUUGUUUUAUUUCUUGCUUUAAUUUUGAUCAAAAUUGUCAUGUUUUUGCUUGUCUAUUACAAUAUUAUUUUCUGGUAAUUUUAGUUUCAGAGUUGUCAAUUUCAGGUUUAGUUUUUGAUAAUUCCAGUUUCAUUUAGAAUAUGAGUUUUGAGAUUCGGUUGAGUUGUCCUUUUAGGUUCUAAUGAUAUUUCAUUUUUUUGUUUCAACCUUCUAGAGUAUUUGCGAGUUUAGAGAUGUUUCCAUUAGAUUUUAGUUCUUUUGUCCUUUUUUCUCUAUUUUUUGUUUUAUUCAUUUUAUUUGUUAUUUCCCUUUAACUCUUCCGUCUACUUGUGAAGCACUUGCCCUUGGUCUUCAUCGGGCAUUUGGCCGCAAUAGCAUGUUUAACCUUGAUUCACCAUGCUUUUUUCAAGAUGCUCCAUGCAGUCCAGAUCAUAGUUCUGUGGGAUCACACUGAUUAAGCAUUUGGCAGCUUAUUCCAUGCUUAUUUAAAUAACUUGCCCCCUCCAGUUAUACAUCUAUAGUAUUACAUGGUAGUAACUUCUUUCAUAUUUUUUACCCCUCCACUUGUGCAUACUAUGGCCUUGUUUAGUUCCGAAUUUUUUUUGGUUUUCGGUAUCGUAGCACUUUCAUUUUUAUUAGACAAACAUUGAACAAUCAUGGAGUAACUAGGCUUAAAAGAUUUCUCCUGUAAUUUACAUAUAAAUUGUGCAAUUAGUUUUUGUUUUUGUCUAUAUUUAGUGCUUCAUGCAUGUGUCGCAAGAUUCGAUAUGACGGGAAAUCUUGAAAAGUUUUUGAAUUUCAGGGUGAACUAAACAAGGCCUAUAUGUAACAACUUUAGUAUAUUUUUUUUUGGAGUAGCAACUUUAAAGGUGGAAUUAAAAACACACAAAUAAAAAAAUAUUACAUAGUAGUAAAUGGGUUCUAGUUUUGUUGGUGUUGUCACGUAGAACACAUCGGUAUAGGCGGAAUUAAAAACACACAACUACAAAAAAAAUCUUUUGCGAGAUAUUUAGGAAUGGGCCUCGGAGGCAGUUAGGUAUUUCAACUCGGUUAAUGCUUCAGAAUAACCAAGACAGUUAUUUUUAUUAACCAAGGCGGUUACACCAAAAUCAAUUUAUGGAGAAGGUUAAAAAAUAACCACCUCCUAAAAUUUAUUAACCAAGACACCGAUUGGCAAAAUGGACACUGUAGCACUUUCGUUUAUAUUUGAUAAAUAAUGUCCAAUCAUAGACGAACUAGGCUUAAAAGAUUCGUCUCGCGAGUGCAAUUAGUUAUUUUUUAUUUAUAUUUAAUGCUUCAUGUAUGUGCCUCAAGGUUCGAUGUGAUAAAGAAUGUGAAAAAUUUUGUAAGAUUUUUUAAAACUAAACUAGACCUAAGCCUUGUUUAGAUGCGAAAAUAUUUUGAAUUUUGACACUGUAGCAUUUUCGUUUUUAUUUGGCAAAUAUUGUCUAAUUAUGGUGUAACUAGGCUUAAAAGAUUCGUUUCACGAUUUACAGGCAAACUGUAUAAUUAGUUUUUAUUUCCAUCUAUAUUUAAUGCUCUAUGCAUGUGCCGCAAGAUUCGAUGUGACAGGGAAUCUUGAAAAGUUUAAGGCCUAAAGAAGGCCUUAAUCGCUUUUGCUGGUGUGCCUAUAUAUUUUUGGUAUUUUAUGACUAUAUAAAAUAGACUCGAUAAUCGCCUAGGUAUAGUUACCUGAUAACUAGGGGAUGCUCCUCCCCAAGCUAGAUGUUUGCAAUAAUUGGUGUUGAUGAUCUUUAGAGUGAGCUAACCGGCAGCGCUCCAGGUGGGUGCCACUAAUAGACUCUCUCCUUGUCAUAAUGUUGUUCCUGCAUAAUUACUCCAAAAAGAAAACCAAAACUCGAGGCUCAAAUUUGAUACGAGGUUAGCAGUCAGCCAGUAAGUGAUUGAUUGUUCUUUGAGUUGAUUUGAAUUGACAGGAUUCCCCCUUUUUUUAGGAUUUUCUAGUUUAAUUAUGUAGAAAUUAAAUAUGUGUGCAUGAUAUAUAUAACUGUAUUUUUUAUGCCUCCACAGAGAAUAUUUAUUCGUAUGGGGCUUAGGGUUUUCAUAAUGCAAGAAAGUAAAUACAGAAGCUAUUAUUAUUGUUAUUUAUAUCACCACAGUAAAUUUUAGUACAGGGUUACCAUAAGUUUAUUCUUGUGGGGCUUUUAAUAUUUUUUGAUGGAGUAAAUGAAGCAAUAAAGAUUUUUAUUUUCUUUUAUUUUAUUUUUUUAUAUUUAUGUAGAUGAAAAUAUUAAGGUAGAUUUAUUAAUGUAGACAGAAAUACUAAUUAAUUAGAUAACUACCAUAUUACCUUAUGGCAAGAAUAUAAAAUUUAAAGUUCACCGACUGGUCUUCUUCUUCCACUCUUGUGUAUCUCUCUAUCUUGAGAGAUGGAGGUCUUGAUGGUUGCAUACCUCUAGUGAUGAUGAUGUCACCUUUGUUCUUUGAUUUGGCUAGCAGGUUGAAGGAGAGUUUUAAUAGUAGCUGGCAGCAUCUUGCUUAGUGUGCAUGCUCACAGAACUUUCACUUGUAGAAUUAAUAAACUUUACUUGGUGUAUUGUCCUGUUUGCAAAACUAAGGUAGAGAUCAAGUGCAUGGGCUCUAUUGGUGGAAAAUCACCAAAAGAACCAAAUCUAUUUCUUUAUUAAUUUUUUCUCCAUUCUUAGGCACAUUAAAUAAGAUAAAGUUGGAUUACAUGAUUUAUUUAUUUAUUUAUGAGUGGUAAGAUCAAAAGAUUAAGCAUUUAAUGUUGCAUUAAGAUCACAUGACAGAAAAGAAUGAAAUUGCUUAACUAAUGGAAGGAUUGUCUAUCUCUGUAUAAAUUUUCAAAUAAGUACGACUAUCAUCUUCCCAAGAUUGAAUAUAAUGUUUUGACUUGUUUAGUUAAGACUGAGAUUAAGAGAAUGGUGCUAUGAACAAUUUUAAAGAGCAAAGCAUAUUGAGUUAAUCAAUCUAAGUUGUAACCCUAAUAUGUUUGUUUCUUCACUUAUGUGCACACCAAGUUCAAGAGAAGAGAGUGACCACUUGCCUUAGAAUAUUACCUUCAUUAUUAGAGCGUGAUGACACUAACUGAUGAAGGGUAAAUGACUGGUGGUCCUUCCUCUUACAUCUUGAGUUGUUCAUAGACAUCUUGUCUCCUCUAUUGCACUCAUUCUUUUGCCAUCUUUUGCUUCUUUAAUCUAUUGACUCUUUUCACUCCAGUCAUUAUUAUGCCUGCAACAAAUUAGUGGACAACACAUAUCCGAAGGAAUAUACAAGUAAUGACAAGGGCAUUGUUCUAACAUAGCCAAGGGUCACUUUCUAUGCUACAAAAAGAAAUUUGCUUGAGCAUACUUAGCAUAGCUAUUUAUUAGUCACAAUUACUUCUUUCUAAGGGCUUGAAUUUAUUUUCCCAUCUUAUGUUUUAAAUCUGAAAUAUAGGCAUUAUAAAUCAGCUCAAACUUAUAGAAAUAAAGUAAUAGUGGAUUUAGAGAUUGCAAACCAGCGUGUGGAGCCAUGAGGAAGGACUCAGUUGGACUAGCUAGGAGAGUUGGCCUUCCUUCUCGACCUUAGAGGUGAGAGUGCAAAACAUUGCAUGCUCUUCUCUUAUCAAUCUUUCUUUCUUCCUGGCUACGAGUGAGUUGUUUCUUUCUUAUGCAAAAAUAUUGUAUCUCUUCAUCUCCAGUGUGAGUUCAUCUCAGGACUCUCCCACUUUGAAUUUGGAAGUUUUCCUGUAGGGGUUAGUCUAACAAAAUAUUCCAAUAUCUACUACAACAUACUAUCGGCUCAAAAAUCAACCUAGACACCAUGUCUAAUUUGAUUUAGGA